Molecule: non-coding RNA, 119 nt
Organism: Hordeum vulgare subsp. vulgare (domesticated barley)
Lineage: Eukaryota; Viridiplantae; Streptophyta; Magnoliopsida; Poales; Poaceae
Source: Rfam
GGAUGGGAACAUACCAGCACUAAAGCAUCGGAUCCCAUCAGAGAUCCGAAGUUAAGCGUGCUUCGGCGANAGUAGUACUAGGAUGGGUGAACUCCUUGGAAGUCCUCGUGUUCCAUUCC